UGGGGAAUAUUGGACAAUGGGCGCAAGCCUGAUCCAGCAAUGCCGCGUGUGUGAAGAAGGCCUUCGGGUUGUAAAGCACUUUUAUCAGGAGCGAAACGCUGUCGGCUAAUACCCGGCGGAACUGACGGUACCUGAGGAAUAAGCACCGGCUAACUUCGUGCCAGCAGCCGCGGUAAUACGAAGGGUGCAAGCGUUAAUCGGAAUUACUGGGCGUAAAGCGUGCGUAGGCGGUUUCUUAAGUCUGCUGUGAAAUCCCCGGGCUCAACCUGGGAAUGGCAGUGGAUACUGGGAGGCUAGAGUGUGUCAGAGGGUGGUGGAAUUCCCGGUGUAGCGGUGAAAUGCGUAGAGAUCGGGAGGAACAUCAGUGGCGAAGGCGGCCACCUGGGACAACACUGACGCUGAGGCACGAAAGCGUGGGGAGCAAACAGGAUUAGAUACCCUGGUAGUCCACGCCCUAAACGAUGCGAACUGGAUGUUGGUCUCAACUCGGAGAUCAGUGUCGAAGCUAACGCGUUAAGUUCGCCGCCUGGGGGAGUACGGUCGCAAGACUGAAACUCAAAUGAAUUGACGGGGUCAUAGCUGUUUCC
This 587-nucleotide ribosomal RNA is filed under the name uncultured bacterium. Its description in RNAcentral is "partial 16S ribosomal RNA". It matches the Rfam family "Bacterial small subunit ribosomal RNA", at positions 355 to 937 of the family's 1533-position model. The record is from RNAcentral.